UAUUUCCCGAAGACUUUGAAUAGUAUCCAAUUCUUUCUUGGAGGAAAUACAACUUGUGGACGCCAGAGGUCACUACUGUACCAUAAAACACAUGCCUGUCAGUGGAAACAACAGCCUCUUCCAGGACAAUGAUGGUGUCUUGUUCUGACACCAUCUGUGAAGGGAGUGGGCUUUGAAGAAAAACUACAGUUUGAGAGGAAAGGAUACCUAGAGGGACUUAAUUUGUCAUCACAUCACCAGGAACAGCAUGAUAAGGAACCGGUUUUCUUUAUCUCAGAAGAAUCAUGCACUUCAAGUCUUGUGUGAUGGGGAGAUGGUAAUGAAUGGCUACACUGAUGAAGAGAACAACUGAGAACAGACGGAAGGCAACGUUUGAUGGCAAACUAUCUGGUCUUUGUCGGUUACAUUUACCUCUGUGUGAACAAGAUGCUCCACACAGGCAACACACCCUUCCCUGUUGGUGACAUGAGCUCUGCUCAUUGCCACUUACUUUCCUCUGUUUUGUGAAUGUCAGAGCUGGCCAGAAUGAACAGAUUUGUGAAUCUCAAGUUCCAAUCUAUGUUUAUUGGAGAGAAUCCCAUCGAAACCCACUCAGGGCGCUCCCUUCCUUCCCUUCUGCUAUUUACAUUUCCACAGACAUGCACAGAACAAUGUCGGUUAGGCACUCCUUCUCAGUGGCUGAGUGAUAUCUACUUCUGUAAGACGCAAUCUGCUGUUCCAUUCUUGAGAAAUGUGUUCCAUUUGCACCUUGGUUCAUCACCAACCAGAAACUGCUGUCUAGGGCAAGAGAAGAGUUACGAUUCGAAUCUUUCACAGUAUCAGGAACCAUCUUUCAAGUAAAUGACUUGAGUUAACAAACGAUCUAACUUCGAGGGCUGCUGUGAAAGAUGCCAGGAGAUAUGAUGGGAUGACGUCAUUAGUGAAGUAGACUUGGUUUCUGCUACAGGUAACAGGUCAUGUGAGGAGUGGUCUUCCCACCUUUGCUGUUGAGUGUUUAUUUUCUUUUCCAACUUGAAAAAGAGACCCCCGGAAGUGUUACUCAAACCAGUUCCCAGAGAGAAGGCAAAUCCCUUCCCAUCUGGGGAGGGGUGGGGUUCAGGAGCAAACAAGAGUCUCCAUUCCUGGGUUAAUGAAGGAAAAGUUUCUGAACAUGUUCUGGUCCAUGCUGUUGAUGAGUGCUCUGUCGGCGAAUGACAGCCGGGGUUUCUCACUUAGGAAUUCCUUGUCGAAAUUGCUGCAGUCAUAUGGUGAUUUCUUAGUCACAGUUUAAGGAGGAGAGAAAAAAAAAAAAGGGAAGAAAAUUAGCCACCAGGUUCAUUACCUUAACUUUGCUUAUGUAGGCUGUAGUGUGUGCACAACCAGUGGGUCCUAACCCCGAGUCAUCAGUUCUUUUUAUUAGAAUAAUUCAUUGCACACGAAAGAAUUACGUUGUACAGGUUUCAGUCACCCAGACUGUGACCAUGAAACUUUUAAGUGCUGCAUGCAAAACCCCAUCUCCUGACAGUCCCUUUUGAAAACAGAUGUUCAACUUGGGAAUGUUCUGCAAUUUAUUCUUCCCAUAGGUAAAUUUUUGAUGACACAGUUUAAAUCUGGCAGGCAACAGGAAUACCCCCCCCCCCAACCUCUCCUCUAGCUAAAUAGUGUGGAUUAAAGAAUCGCGUCCCCCUGCCAAGGGUGGGGUUGGGGCAGGUUUCAGGAACCGCUGUUACUUGAUUAGGGUGAUAGCCUGUGACAAAAGGAAAAGGGCUGAAGCCAGUCUGUUCAGUGGGGGAGACCUUACCACUUUUGGCCUGAAAGGUGGGUCAAUCUCUUUCCUCUCAAGUUCUUCCCAGUUGAUCUCUCGGAACAAAGGAUGCUGGCGGAUAUCUCCUUGCACGCCCAGCCUCUUUUCGGGUUCUCUCACAAAAAGCUGCAAGGAAGCAGAAAGGGAGUAGUUCACAUCCCCUGCAAUGAGGCAUUGAUAAGAUCAGGUGGGUAUACACUCACUUGGUGUGAGCAACUGGCUUUUUUUGCUGACCUCUGUGGAGAUGGAAUAGGUUCACAGUAACUUGAUACCUUCUCUGAGUGAACUGUUUUGCACUCUCCAUAGUCUGGCUUUGACCUCCUUCCUCUUUGCGCCAGGCGGGCCAUAACUGUGACUUAUAUAGGCCUGGCAUGAAAUCAGUUUUGCGUUGUGCUACUUACAUGGUCUCUGACAAUGCAUAGACUCUACGUGAGUUUCCUAACCUUUGCCAUACAGUGCUGGUUGCUCUUAAUUGUCAACUAGACACAACCUAGAUUCACCUGGGAAGAGGGAACCGCAAGUGGAGAGCUGCCUCUGUGACACUGGCCUAUGUCAGUGUCUGUGAGAGACUGAUGAUUGACGUGGGUGAGGCCAUCCUUGGGCAAACAGUCCUGGGCUAUAUAAGGAAGGAAAUUAAGCACGAGUCAGGGAGCAAGCCAGUAAGCAGCAUUCCUCCAUGGCUUCUGCUGCAGUUCUUGUGCGAGUACCAGUCCCCAUUUCCCUCAAUAGUGGACUGUCACCUUUAAGUUGAAAUAAACUUUUUCCUCCCCAA
This is a non-coding RNA of Cricetulus griseus (Chinese hamster), 2555 nucleotides long. The record is from RefSeq and is a predicted model, not a curated record. NCBI's taxonomy places the organism in Eukaryota, Metazoa, Chordata, Mammalia, Rodentia, Cricetidae.